This 560-nucleotide ribosomal RNA is filed under the name uncultured bacterium. RNAcentral's name for it is "bacterial SSU rRNA". It matches the Rfam family "Bacterial small subunit ribosomal RNA", at positions 948 to 1512 of the family's 1533-position model. The record is from RNAcentral.
AAUUCGAUGCAACGCGAAAAACCUUACCCACCUUUGACAUGGCAGGAAUCCUGAAGAGAUUCGGGAGUGCUCGAAAGAGAACCUGCACACAGGUGCUGCAUGGCUGUCGUCAGCUCGUGUCGUGAGAUGUUGGGUUAAGUCCCGCAACGAGCGCAACCCUUGCCAUUAGUUGCUACGAAAGGGCACUCUAAUGGGACUGCCGGUGACAAACCGGAGGAAGGUGGGGAUGACGUCAAGUCCUCAUGGCCCUUAUAGGUGGGGCUACACACGUCAUACAAUGGCCGGUACAGAGGGUAGCCAACCCGCGAGGGGGAGCCAAUCCCGCAAAGCCGGUCGUAGUCCGGAUCGCAGUCUGCAACUCGACUGCGUGAAGUCGGAAUCGCUAGUAAUCGCGGAUCAGAAUGUCGCGGUGAAUACGUUCCCGGGUCUUGUACACACCGCCCGUCACACCAUGGGAGCGGGUUCUGCCAGAAGUAGUUAGCCUAACCGCAAGGAGGGCGAUUACCACGGCAGGGUUCGUGACUGGGGUGAAGUCGUAACAAGGUAGCCGUAUCGGAAGG